AUGCUGGAGGUAUCAGAAGUGCGAAUGCUGACAUAAGUAACGAUAAAGCGGGUGAAAAGCCCGCUCGCCGGAAGACCAAGGGUUCCUGUCCAACGUUAAUCGGGGCAGGGUGAGUCGACCCCUAAGGCGAGGCCGAAAGGCGUAGUCGAUGGGAAACAGGUUAAUAUUCCUGUACUUGGUGUUACUGCGAAGGGGGGACGGAGAAGGCUAUGUUGGCCGGGCGACGGUUGUCCCGGUUUAAGCGUGUAGGCUGGUUUUCCAGGCAAAUCCGGAAAAUCAAGGCUGAGGCGUGAUGACGAGGCACUACGGUGCUGAAGCAACAAAUGCCCUGCUUCCAGGAAAAGCCUCUAAGCAUCAGGUAACAUCAAAUCGUACCCCAAACCGACACAGGUGGUCAGGUAGAGAAUACCAAGGCGCUUGAGAGAACUCGGGUGAAGGAACUAGGCAAAAUGGUGCCGUAACUUCGGGAGAAGGCACGCUGAUAUGUAGGUGAAGUCCCUCGCGGAUGGAGCUGAAAUCAGUCGAAGAUACCAGCUGGCUGCAACUGUUUAUUAAAAACACAGCACUGUGCAAACACGAAAGUGGACGUAUACGGUGUGACGCCUGCCCGGUGCCGGAAGGUUAAUUGAUGGGGUCAGCGCAAGCGAAGCUCUUGAUCGAAGCCCCGGUAAACGGCGGCCGUAACUAUAACGGUCCUAAGGUAGCGAAAUUCCUUGUCGGGUAAGUUCCGACCUGCACGAAUGGCGUAAUGAUGGCCAGGCUGUCUCCACCCGAGACUCAGUGAAAUUGAACUCGCUGUGAAGAUGCAGUGUACCCGCGGCAAGACGGAAAGACCCCGUGAACCUUUACUAUAGCUUGACACUGAACAUUGAGCCUUGAUGUGUAGGAUAGGUGGGAGGCUUUGAAGUGUGGACGCCAGUCUGCAUGGAGCCGACCUUGAAAUACCACCCUUUAAUGUUUGAUGUUCUAACGUUGACCCGUAAUCCGGGUUGCGGACAGUGUCUGGUGGGUAGUUUGACUGGGGCGGUCUCCUCCUAAAGAGUAACGGAGGAGCACGAAGGUUGGCUAAUCCUGGUCGGACAUCAGGAGGUUAGUGCAAUGGCAUAAGCCAGCUUGACUGCGAGCGUGACGGCGCGAGCAGGUGCGAAAGCAGGUCAUAGUGAUCCGGUGGUUCUGAAUGGAAGGGCCAUCGCUCAACGGAUAAAAGGUACUCCGGGGAUAACAGGCUGAUACCGCCCAAGAGUUCAUAUCGACGGCGGUGUUUGGCACCUCGAUGUCGGCUCAUCACAUCCUGGGGCUGAAGUAGGUCCCAAGGGUAUGGCUGUUCGCCAUUUAAAGUGGUACGCGAGCUGGGUUUAGAACGUCGUGAGACAGUUCGGUCCCUAUCUGCCGUGGGCGCUGGAGAACUGAGGGGGGCUGCUCCUAGUACGAGAGGACCGGAGUGGACGCAUCACUGGUGUUCGGGUUGUCAUGCCAAUGGCACUGCCCGGUAGCUAAAUGCGGAAGAGAUAAGUGCUGAAAGCAUCUAAGCACGAAACUUGCCCCGAGAUGAGUUCUCCCUGACUCCUUGAGAGUCCUGAAGGAACGUUGAAGACGACGACGUUGAUAGGCCGGGUGUGUAAGCGCAGCGAUGCGUUGAGCUAACCGGUACUAAUGAACCGUGAGGCUUAACCUUACAACGCCGAAG
RNAcentral lists this ribosomal RNA (1687 nucleotides) under Escherichia coli. RNAcentral's name for it is "bacterial LSU rRNA". It matches the Rfam family "Bacterial large subunit ribosomal RNA", at positions 1270 to 2925 of the family's 2925-position model. Lineage: Bacteria; Pseudomonadati; Pseudomonadota; Gammaproteobacteria; Enterobacterales; Enterobacteriaceae. The record is from RNAcentral.